This 2484-nucleotide ribosomal RNA is filed under the name human gut metagenome. Its description in RNAcentral is "bacterial LSU rRNA". It matches the Rfam family "Bacterial large subunit ribosomal RNA", at positions 14 to 2541 of the family's 2925-position model. The record is from RNAcentral.
AGUGCAUGCGGCGGAUGCCUUGGCGAUCACAGGCGAAGAAAGACGCGGCAGCCUGCGAAAAGCUGCGGGGAGCUGGCAAACGAGCUUUGAUCCGCAGAUAUCUGAAUGGGGGAACCCACACCGCAAGGUGUAUCCGUAGCUCAAUACAUAGGUUACGGAGGCGAACGAGGAGAACUGAAACAUCUAAGUAUCCUCAGGAAAAGAAAUCAACCGAGAUUCCGGCAGUAGCGGCGAGCGAACCCGGAGGAGCCCAGCUUUUGAUAGUACGAACUUUAGCCGAAAGGUCCUGGAAAGGCCUGCUAUAGUGGGUGAUAGCCCCGUAGGCGAAAGAGUUGGUACGGUACUAAGGAAGCGAGAAGUAGAGCGGGACACGUGGAAUCCUGUUCGAAGACGGGGGGACCAUCCUCCAAGGCUAAAUACUCGUGAUCGACCGAUAGUGAACCAGUACCGUGAGGGAAAGGCGAAAAGAACCCCGGGAGGGGAGUGAAAUAGAACCUGAAACCGCAUGCAUACAAACAGUAGGAGCCUCGUCAGAGGUGACUGCGUACCUUUUGCAUAAUGGGUCAGCGACUUACAUUCUGUGGCGAGCUUAACCGAAUAGGGGAGGCGCAGCGAAAGCGAGUUCGAAAUGAGCGUUCAGUCGCAGGGUGUAGACCCGAAACCAGAUGAGCUAUCCAUGGCCAGGUUGAAGGUGUGGUAACACACACUGGAGGACCGAACCGACUAGUGUUGCAAAAUUAGCGGAUGAGCUGUGGAUAGGGGUGAAAGGCCAAACAAAUCUGGAGAUAGCUGGUUCUCCCCGAAAACUAUUGAGGUAGUGCCUCGUGUGUCGCUCCAGGGGGUAGAGCACUGUUUUGGCUAGGGGGACAUGGAGUCUUACCAAACCAAGGCAAACUCCGAAUACCUGGAAGCGUGAGCACGGGAGACAGAGCACCGGGUGCUAACGUCCGGACUCAAAAGGGAAACAACCCAGACCGCCGGCUAAGGUCCCAAAUAACAGCUAAGUGGAAAACGAAGUGGAAAGGCCGUGACAACCAGGAAGUUGGCUUAGAAGCAGCCAUCCUUCAAAGAAAGCGUAAUAGCUCACUGGUCGAGUCCUUCUGCGCGGAAGAUGUAACGGGGCUAAGCUGUUAACCGAAGCCGCGGAUGCGCUGGUUAUCCAGUGCGUGGUAGGGGAGCGUUCUGUAAGUCUGCGAAGGCGGUUCGAGAGGACUGCUGGAGAUAUCAGAAGUGCGAAUGCUGACAUGAGUAACGUUAAAGCAGGUGAAAAGCCUGCUCGCCGUAAGCCCAAGGAUUCCUGCUCUACGUUCAUCGGAGCAGGGUGAGUCGGCUCCUAAGGUCAGGCCGAAAGGCGUAGCCGAUGGGAAUCAGGUUAAUAUUCCUGAACCUGCGUCAGAUGCGAUGGGGGGACGGAGCAUGGAAGAUCAUCCGGGUGUUGGAAGUCCCGGUUGUUUAGCGUAGGAGGUCUGCAGGCAAAUCCGCAGACGCAUCUCCAAGGCAAAGACACGUGCCGCCACGGCGGCGAAGUGAUCGGAAGUGCUUCCAAGAAAAGCCUCUAAGCACCAGUCUGAUGCGGACCGUACCGCAAACCGACACUGGUGGGCGAGCUGAAUAUGCUCAGGCGCUUGAGAGAACUCGGGAGAAGGAACUCGGCAAAUUGACACCGUAACUUCGGAAGAAGGUGUGCCGUAGUACCGUGAGAGGAGAGACACCUUGAGCGGGAAACGGUCUCAGAGAAUAGGUGGCUGCGACUGUUUAUUAAAAACACAGCACUCUGCAAAGUCGAAAGACGACGUAUAGGGUGUGAUGCCUGCCCGGUGCUGGAAGAUUAAUUGAUGGGGUGAGAGCCCUUGAUCGAAGUCCCAGUAAACGGCGGCCGUAACUAUAACGGUCCUAAGGUAGCGAAAUUCCUUGUCGGGUAAGUUCCGACCUGCACGAAUGGCAUAACGAUGGCCACACUGUCUCCUCCCGAGACUCAGUGAAGUUGAAAUGUUUGUGAUGAUGCAAUCUACCCGCGGCUAGACGGAAAGACCCCAUGAACCUUUACUGCAGCUUUGCAUUGAACUGUGAACCGAUUUGUGUAGGAUAGGUGGGAGGCAGAGAAGAGGCCACGCCAGUGGUCUUGGAGCCGACCUUGAAAUACCACCCUGAUUUGUUUGCGGUUCUAACCACGGACAGUGAUCCUGUCUUGGGACCGUGCAUGGUAGGCAGUUUGACUGGGGCGGUCUCCUCCUAAAGGGUAACGGAGGAGUACGAAGGUACGCUAGGUACGGUCGGAAAUCGUGCUGAUAGUGCAAUGGCAAAAGCGUGCUUGACUGCGAGAGCAACAACUCGAGCAGAUGCGAAAGCAGGUCAUAGUGAUCCGGUGGCUCUGAAUGGAAGGGCCAUCGCUCAACGGAUAAAAGGUACUCUGGGGAUAACAGGCUGAUACCGCCCAAGAGUUCAUAUCGACGGCGGUGUUUGGCACCUCGAUGUCGGCUCAUC